Molecule: long non-coding RNA, 422 nt
Organism: Chroicocephalus ridibundus (black-headed gull)
Lineage: Eukaryota; Metazoa; Chordata; Aves; Charadriiformes; Laridae
Exons: 3
Source: RefSeq, a predicted model, not a curated record
UGAUAGGAUAUUUAAUAGAAGUGCUGCUGAGAGACUGGCACAUGUGGAACAGAGGAUAUGACGUGUCUGCAAUGUUAUGAAAGCUGUAGCCACUGGCUUGUGGGAGAGACAGAGAUUUGUUUCUUGGAUCCAGUAAAUAUUUCUGAAGCCUCAUUUGAAACGUCGGAGAAUGCAUUUCCUUCAUCACUGACUAAUGUCAGAAGCCUUACUCUGGGAGAUCCGUGUCCAUCGCACAGGCUGAUUCAUCUCCGUCUGUCAUAUACAAAACAGGAUCUGACUUUGUCCCUCCACGAUGGAAGAGGUCCUGCCUGUGACAUCCUUUCAGGGAAUCCCACAGUUUCCAUCUGAGAUGGGUACGUGCAUUUUAAGCGGAGGCACACACCAAUGCCUGGAGAGCGUUCACAGCUGCAGUAGGACACAGG